RNAcentral lists this ribosomal RNA (292 nucleotides) under uncultured bacterium. Its description in RNAcentral is "partial 16S ribosomal RNA". The record is from RNAcentral.
GGACUACUGGGGUAUCUAAUCCUGUUCGCUCCCCAUGCUUUCGCUCCUCAGCGUCAGUUGCGGCCCAGUGACCUGCCUUCGCCAUCGGUGUUCCUCCUGAUAUCUGCGCAUUCCACCGCUACACCAGGAAUUCCAGUCACCCCUACCGCACUCUAGUCCGCCCGUACCCACUGCACGCCCCAGGUUGAGCCUGAGGAUUUCACAGCAGACGCGACGAACCGCCUACGAGCUCUUUACGCCCAAUAAUUCCGGACAACGCUUGCGCCCUACGUAUUACCGCGGCGGCUGGCAC